GGGGGUGUAGCUUAGCCCGGUCUAAAGCAGUCGCCUGUCGAGCGAAAGAUCGUGGGUUCAAAUCCCAUUUCCCCCG
RNAcentral lists this transfer RNA (76 nucleotides) under Stenomitos rutilans HA7619-LM2. Its description in RNAcentral is "tRNA-Asp". It matches the Rfam family "tRNA". From Rfam's summary of the family: Transfer RNA (tRNA) molecules are approximately 80 nucleotides in length. Their secondary structure includes four short double-helical elements and three loops (D, anti-codon, and T loops). The record is from RNAcentral. Lineage: Bacteria; Bacillati; Cyanobacteriota; Cyanophyceae; Leptolyngbyales; Leptolyngbyaceae. RNAcentral also lists the same sequence under 1 other name.